Molecule: ribosomal RNA, 253 nt
Filed under: uncultured bacterium
Lineage: Bacteria
Description: partial 16S ribosomal RNA
Rfam family: Bacterial small subunit ribosomal RNA
Source: RNAcentral
UACGUAGGGGGCAAGCGUUGUCCGGAAUCAUUGGGCGUAAAGAGCGUGUAGGCGGCCCGAUAAGUCCGCUGUGAAAGCCCAGGGCUCAACCCUGGAAUUGCCUUCGAUACUGUCUGGCUAGAGACCGGAAGAGGUAAGUGGAACUGCGAGUGUAGAGGUGAAAUUCGUAGAUAUUCGCAAGAACACCAGUGGCGAAGGCGGCUUACUGGUCCGGUUCUGACGCUGAGGCGCGAAAGCGUGGGGAGCAAACAGG